AAUUUGCGUUAAUGUCAAAUUUAGAAAUUUUUGUCAUUUCAUACAAACUUGUAUAUAGACUGUUGUCUUAUCUGUGUGAAGAGAGGCAUGUUUUACCUCAUAUAUAUAACUAGGAGACUCUACGCAUAGAAGAUAAGAUAUGUAGUUCACUCGCGGCACUGAAAGAAUACAGACGGAAUCGCCGACAUGUAUAAACUCACAGUUUUCGUUUUAUCAGUAUGUGCGCUCUCAAUUGUAACAUCCAGCAGCGGCACUACAUCCUCUAAUUCGAUAAGAUGUCGACUAUGUAGUAGAGCUAACACCCUUUCAGAUUGUAACAAAAAUGUCACAUGUGAUAGUACUUUGGAGGUAAGUGUUGCGCAUCCAUAGAUUAUUUUCUUUAAAAGUCCCCCAUGUCUUUUUUCUUCUCCUUUCUUGUCCACCUACGUUUUGAUGUUUCGUUUCAUAAUUCGUAAUUGCCCCCAUUUAUUAACUUUUCCGUUUAAUAACUUUUUGUUAUGUCUUCUUCUGAUCCGCUGCCAUCUUCUUCUGAUCCAUCGUUUACCCUUCUAUCCUCUGGUCCUUCUUCUUCUGCUAAAUAUUUCUUCUGACUGUUAAACAUUUAUAUCUUUAGGGCUGUAACAUGUUUUUUCCCC
Molecule: long non-coding RNA, 635 nt
Organism: Mercenaria mercenaria
Lineage: Eukaryota; Metazoa; Mollusca; Bivalvia; Venerida; Veneridae
Exons: 4
Source: RefSeq, a predicted model, not a curated record